This 46-nucleotide ribosomal RNA is filed under the name Trichoderma harzianum. RNAcentral's name for it is "partial 28S ribosomal RNA". Lineage: Eukaryota; Fungi; Ascomycota; Sordariomycetes; Hypocreales; Hypocreaceae. The record is from RNAcentral. RNAcentral also lists the same sequence under 1 other name.
GACCUCGGAUCAGGUAGGAAUACCCGCUGAACUUAAGCAUAUCAAA